RNAcentral lists this ribosomal RNA (426 nucleotides) under uncultured Verrucomicrobiaceae bacterium. RNAcentral's name for it is "bacterial SSU rRNA". It matches the Rfam family "Bacterial small subunit ribosomal RNA", at positions 355 to 774 of the family's 1533-position model. The record is from RNAcentral. Lineage: Bacteria; Pseudomonadati; Verrucomicrobiota; Verrucomicrobiia; Verrucomicrobiales; Verrucomicrobiaceae.
UCGAGAAUCUUUCACAAUGGGGGCAACCCUGAUGGAGCGACGCCGCGUGGAGGAUAAGGUCUUCGGAUUGUAAACUCCUGUCAUGCGCGAACAAGGUUGUCGGGUUAAUAACUUGGCAACUUGAUGGUACCGCAAGAGGAAGAGACGGCUAACUCUGUGCCAGCAGCCGCGGUAAUACAGAGGUCUCAAGCGUUGUUCGGAAUCACUGGGCGUAAAGGGUGCGUAGGUGGCGUGGUAAGUCAGAUGUGAAAGCCCGGGGCUCAACCUCGGAAUUGCAUCCGAUACUGCUAUGCUAGAGUACUGAAGAGGUGACUAGAAUUCUCGGUGUAGCAGUGAAAUGCGUAGAUAUCGAGAGGAAUACCAACGGCGAAGGCAGGUCACUGGGCAGUUACUGACACUGAGGCACGAAGGCUAGGGUAGCGAACG